Molecule: ribosomal RNA, 531 nt
Filed under: uncultured fungus
Lineage: Eukaryota; Fungi
Description: eukaryotic LSU rRNA
Rfam family: 5.8S ribosomal RNA (bases 182-335)
Source: RNAcentral
CGUAACAAGGUUUCCGUAGGUGAACCUGCGGAAGGAUCAUUACCUAGAGUUGUAGGCUUUGCCUGCUAUCUCUUACCCAUGUCUUUUGAGUACCUUCGUUUCCUCGGCGGGUCCGCCCGCCGAUUGGACAAUUUAAACCAUUUGCAGUUGCAAUCAGCGUCUGAAAAAACUUAAUAGUUACAACUUUCAACAACGGAUCUCUUGGUUCUGGCAUCGAUGAAGAACGCAGCGAAAUGCGAUAAGUAGUGUGAAUUGCAGAAUUCAGUGAAUCGUCGAAUCUUUGAACGCACAUUGCGCCCCUUGGUAUUCCAUGGGGCAUGCCUGUUCGAGCGUCAUUUGUACCUUCAAGCUCUGCUUGGUGUUGGGUGUUUGUCUCGCCUCUGCGCGCAGACUCGCCUCAAAACAAUUGGCAGCCGGCGUAUUGAUUUCGGAGCGCAGUACAUCUCGCGCUUUGCACUCAUAACGACGACGUCCAAAAGUACAUUUUUACACUCUUGACCUCGGAUCAGGUAGGGAUACCCGCUGAACUUA